GGAAUAUUGGACAAUGGGCGAAAGCCUGAUCCAGCCAUGCCGCGUGUGUGAAGAAGGUCUUCGGAUUGUAAAGCACUUUAAGUUGGGAGGAAGGGCAGUAAGCGAAUACCUUGCUGUUUUGACGUUACCGACAGAAUAAGCACCGGCCAACUAUGUGCCCGCAGCCGCGGUAAUACAGAGGGUGCAAGCGUUAAACGGAAUUACGGGGCGUAAAGCGCACGUAGGCGGCUCUGCAAGUCGGGUGUGAAAGCCCCGGGCUCAACCUGGGAACUGCAUUCGAUACUGCAUUGCUGGAGUAUGGGAGAGGGAAGUGGAAUUUCCGGUGUAGCGGUGAAAUGCGUAGAUAUCGGAAGGAACACCAGUGGCGAAAGCGACUUCCUGGACCAAUACUGACGCUCAGGUGCGAAAGCGUGGGGAGCAAAC
RNAcentral lists this ribosomal RNA (423 nucleotides) under uncultured bacterium. RNAcentral's name for it is "bacterial SSU rRNA". It matches the Rfam family "Bacterial small subunit ribosomal RNA", at positions 358 to 773 of the family's 1533-position model. The record is from RNAcentral.